UAGGGAAUCUUCCGCAAUGGACGCAAGUCUGACCGAGCAACGCCGCGUGAGUGAAGAAGGUUUUCGGAUCGUAAAGCUCUGUUGUUAAGGAAGAACGAGUGUGAGAAUGGAAAGUUCAUACUGUGAAGGUACUUAACCAGAAAGGGACGGCUAACUACGUGCCAGCAGCCGCGGUAAUACGUAGGUCCCGAGCGUUGUCCGGAUUUAUUGGGCGUAAAGCGAGCGCAGGCGGUUAGAUAAGUCUGAAGUGAAAGGCAGUGGCUCAACCAUUGUAGGCUUUGGAAACUGUUUAACUUGAGUGCAGAAGGGGAGAGUGGAAUUCCAUGUGUAGCGGUGAAAUGCGUAGAUAUAUGGAGGAACACCGGUGGCGAAAGCGGCUCUCUGGUCUGUAACUGACGCUGAGGCUCGAAAGCGUGGGGAGCGAACAGG
RNAcentral lists this ribosomal RNA (429 nucleotides) under Bacteroidota bacterium. Its description in RNAcentral is "Bacteroidetes bacterium partial 16S ribosomal RNA". It matches the Rfam family "Bacterial small subunit ribosomal RNA", at positions 355 to 776 of the family's 1533-position model. The record is from RNAcentral. Lineage: Bacteria; Pseudomonadati; Bacteroidota.